GUGAACACGAGAUGGGAUUAUUAGCUCUCAUUAAAACCCGUUCUAAUCCCUGGCUCUUUACUGUACUAUCUUUGCAGCCAGGAUAUGAAUCACUGGUCGCCAAUUUCUGGUAUAUUCUUCUGCAGCAGACAGAACUGCAAAUGUCAGCCCCAGCAAGGAGAAGACUCACAGUUCCAACACAGUCUCCGUGGUCUAUCAAUUUAAAAAAAUAUUAAGAACCACGUCUCUGAACAUCUGUGUGGUAGCUGACAUUUA
RNAcentral lists this long non-coding RNA (255 nucleotides) under Mustela putorius furo (domestic ferret). RNAcentral's name for it is "lncRNA (ENSMPUG00000030628.1)". Lineage: Eukaryota; Metazoa; Chordata; Mammalia; Carnivora; Mustelidae. The record is from RNAcentral.